RNAcentral lists this ribosomal RNA (490 nucleotides) under uncultured bacterium. Its description in RNAcentral is "partial 16S ribosomal RNA". It matches the Rfam family "Bacterial small subunit ribosomal RNA", at positions 28 to 506 of the family's 1533-position model. The record is from RNAcentral.
GAUGAACGCUGGCUACAGGCUUAACACAUGCAAGUCGAGGGGAAACGACGGGGAAGCUUGCUUCCCCGGGCGUCGACCGGCGCACGGGUGAGUAACGCGUAUCCAACCUGCCUCUGACUGAGGGAUAACCCGUCGAAAGUCGGCCUAAUACCUCAUGGCAUCGUCUGCGGGCAUCCAACGACGAUUAAAUAUUUCAUCGGUCAGAGAUGGGGAUGCGUCUGAUUAGCUUGUUGGCGGGGUAACGGCCCACCAAGGCGACGAUCAGUAGGGGUUCUGAGAGGAAGGUCCCCCACAUUGGAACUGAGACACGGUCCAAACUCCUACGGGAGGCAGCAGUGAGGAAGAUUGGGCAAUGGGCGAGAGCCUGAACCAGCCAAGUAGCGUGCAGGAUGACGGGCCUAUGGGUUGUAAACUGCUUUUAUGCGGGGAUAAAGUGAGGGACGUGUCCUUCAUUGCAGGUACCGCAUGAAUAAGGACCGGCUAAUUCCGU